CCUACGGGGAGCAGCAGUGGGGAAUAUUGGACAAUGGGCGAAAGCCUGAUCCAGCCAUGCCGCGUGUGUGAAGAAGGCCUUCGGGUUGUAAAGCACUUUCAGUGGGGAAGAAAGCCUUGGGGCUAAUACCCUCGAGGAAGGACAUCACCCACAGAAGAAGCACCGGCUAACUCCGUGCCAGCAGCCGCGGUAAUACGGAGGGUGCGAGCGUUAAUCGGAAUUACUGGGCGUAAAGCGCGCGUAGGCGGUGUGAUAAGCCGGUUGUGAAAGCCCCGGGCUCAACCUGGGAACGGCAUCCGGAACUGUCAGGCUAGAGUGCAGGAGAGGAAGGUAGAAGUCCCGGUGUAGCGGUGAAAUGCGUAGAGAUCGGGAGGAAUACCAGUGGCGAAGGCGGCCUUCUGGACUGACACUGACGCUGAGGUGCGAAAGCGUGGGUAGCAAACAGGAUUAGAUACCCGGGUAGUC
RNAcentral lists this ribosomal RNA (465 nucleotides) under Vreelandella stevensii. RNAcentral's name for it is "partial 16S ribosomal RNA". It matches the Rfam family "Bacterial small subunit ribosomal RNA", at positions 338 to 795 of the family's 1533-position model. Lineage: Bacteria; Pseudomonadati; Pseudomonadota; Gammaproteobacteria; Oceanospirillales; Halomonadaceae. The record is from RNAcentral.